RNAcentral lists this non-coding RNA (30 nucleotides) under Homo sapiens (human). The record is from RNAcentral. Lineage: Eukaryota; Metazoa; Chordata; Mammalia; Primates; Hominidae.
ACCNGGCAGCUGUGUGACUGAGCCCGAGGA